RNAcentral lists this ribosomal RNA (497 nucleotides) under uncultured bacterium. RNAcentral describes it as "partial 16S ribosomal RNA". It matches the Rfam family "Bacterial small subunit ribosomal RNA", at positions 28 to 507 of the family's 1533-position model. The record is from RNAcentral.
GAUGAACGCUGGCGGCGUGCCUAAUACAUGCAAGUCGAGCGAACGGACGAGAAGCUUGCUUCUCUGAUGUUAGCGGCGGACGGGUGAGUAACACGUGGAUAACCUACCUAUAAGACUGGGAUAACUUCGGGAAACCGGAGCUAAUACCGGAUAAUAUUUUGAACCGCAUGGUUCAAAAGUAAAAGACGGUCUUGCUGUCACUUAUAGAUGGAUCCGCGCUGCAUUAGCUAGUUGGUAAGGUAACGGCUUACCAAGGCAACGAUGCAUAGCCGACCUGAGAGGGUGAUCGGCCACACUGGAACUGAGACACGGUCCAGACUCCUACGGGAGGCAGCAGUAGGGAAUCUUCCGCAAUAGGCGAAAGCCUGACGGAGCAACGCCGCGUGAGUGAUGAAGGUCUUCGGAUCGUAAAACUCUGUUAUUAGGGAAGAACAUAUGUGUAAGUAACUGUGCACAUCUUGACGGUACCUAAUCAGAAAGCCACGGCUAACUACGUG